UCUGUAUGUCUUUCUACAAACUGGACAUGUCAACUUCAUUAUCAACCAAGGAUCAACACAAGCAACAUGAAACAAAUGACCACAACUAGGAAGCAUUCUCAACAAAUCAGAUUCUUUAUAAUCCAUCAAACAUAUUGAGCAGCAACAACUACUAAUUGAAUUAAUAUUAUUGCUGUUACAUAAUUUCACUUCAGAUAAAUAUGGUAUAGUCCUAAUUUGAUCAUUGCUUCUACACACAUUUGUAGUAGUACUUUGUUCCAAACGUGGUUGAUGUUGUUGAUCAGCUGGUUCCAUUACAGUAAUUGUGGUUUGGUUGGAGUUUGUGUCAUGUACUCCAAGAGGCUGAUGAGAAGGAGGUUGAGUAGAAGAAGUGGGUAUAGUACAUAGAUAAGAGGCAAUUGUAAUUAAGAGAGUUAUCAUUAUUAGGCAUACAAGAAAUAAGAUGAAAUAAGCCAUUUUCUUAAACUCUUCAUCAUGAAUGUUCAUGUCUCUACUAUAAUUAUGAGAUCAUUGGUUAAUUUUGAGCAUGAUGAUUUUGUUUAUAUAUGCUAAUUUCCGUUAUGAAAAAUCUAUUGUGAAGUGACAUUCAGCAUUUCCCUUUUAAAUAAUUACAGUGUUUUCCGUAAUGGUAAAUCUAUAUGUCCUAUUUUAUUUUAUGUUGGAUCCUAAUUUGUCCUAUUGUAAUACAUCAAAAUAAGUCAAAUUGUAAGAAAAAUAUUCUAUACUACUGCUGCGUACCGUUAUGUAUGUCU
Molecule: long non-coding RNA, 752 nt
Filed under: Medicago truncatula (barrel medic)
Lineage: Eukaryota; Viridiplantae; Streptophyta; Magnoliopsida; Fabales; Fabaceae
Description: lncRNA gene5264
Source: RNAcentral